AAUCUUCCGCAAUGGACGAGAGUCUGACGGAGCAACGCCGCGUGAGUGAUUAAGGUCUUCGGAUCGUAAAACUCUGUUGUUAGGGAAGAACAAGUAUCGGUCGUAUAGGGCGGUACCUUGACGGUACCUAACCAGAAAUCCAAGGCUAACUACGUGCCCGCAUCCGCGGUAAUACGUAGGUGGCAAGGGUUAUCCGGAAUUAUUGGGGGUUAAGCGCGCGCAGGCGGUUUAUUAAGUCUGAUGUGAAAGCCCACGGCUCAACCGUGGAGGGUCAUUGGAAACUGGGAAGCUUGAGUGCAGAAGAGGAGAGUGGAAUUCCAUGCGUAGCGGUGAAAUGCGUAGAGAUAUGGAGGAACACCAGUGGCGAAGGCGACUCUCUGGUCUGCAACUGACGCUGAGGCGCGAAAGCGUGGGGAGCGAACA
RNAcentral lists this ribosomal RNA (423 nucleotides) under uncultured bacterium. RNAcentral describes it as "partial 16S ribosomal RNA". It matches the Rfam family "Bacterial small subunit ribosomal RNA", at positions 360 to 774 of the family's 1533-position model. The record is from RNAcentral.